AAAUUGAAGAGUUUGAUCAUGGCUCAGAUUGAACGCUGGCGGCAGGCCUAACACAUGCAAGUCGAGCGGUAGCACAGAGAGCUUGCUCUCGGGUGACGAGCGGCGGACGGGUGAGUAAUGUCUGGGAAACUGCCUGAUGGAGGGGGAUAACUACUGGAAACGGUAGCUAAUACCGCAUAACGUCGCAAGACCAAAGUGGGGGACCUUCGGGCCUCAUGCCAUCAGAUGUGCCCAGAUGGGAUUAGCUAGUAGGUGGGGUAAUGGCUCACCUAGGCGACGAUCCCUAGCUGGUCUGAGAGGAUGACCAGCCACACUGGAACUGAGACACGGUCCAGACUCCUACGGGAGGCAGCAGUGGGGAAUAUUGCACAAUGGGCGCAAGCCUGAUGCAGCCAUGCCGCGUGUGUGAAGAAGGCCUUCGGGUUGUAAAGCACUUUCAGCGGGGAGGAAGGCGUUAAGGUUAAUAACCUUGGCGAUUGACGUUACCCGCAGAAGAAGCACCGGCUAACUCCGUGCCAGCAGCCGCGGUAAUACGGAGGGUGCAAGCGUUAAUCGGAAUUACUGGGCGUAAAGCGCACGCAGGCGGUCUGUCAAGUCGGAUGUGAAAUCCCCGGGCUCAACCUGGGAACUGCAUUCGAAACUGGCAGGCUAGAGUCUUGUAGAGGGGGGUAGAAUUCCAGGUGUAGCGGUGAAAUGCGUAGAGAUCUGGAGGAAUACCGGUGGCGAAGGCGGCCCCCUGGACAAAGACUGACGCUCAGGUGCGAAAGCGUGGGGAGCAAACAGGAUUAGAUACCCUGGUAGUCCACGCCGUAAACGAUGUCGAUUUGGAGGUUGUGCCCUUGAGGCGUGGCUUCCGGAGCUAACGCGUUAAAUCGACCGCCUGGGGAGUACGGCCGCAAGGUUAAAACUCAAAUGAAUUGACGGGGGCCCGCACAAGCGGUGGAGCAUGUGGUUUAAUUCGAUGCAACGCGAAGAACCUUACCUGGUCUUGACAUCCACAGAACUUUCCAGAGAUGGAUUGGUGCCUUCGGGAACUGUGAGACAGGUGCUGCAUGGCUGUCGUCAGCUCGUGUUGUGAAAUGUUGGGUUAAGUCCCGCAACGAGCGCAACCCUUAUCCUUUGUUGCCAGCGGUCCGGCCGGGAACUCAAAGGAGACUGCCAGUGAUAAACUGGAGGAAGGUGGGGAUGACGUCAAGUCAUCAUGGCCCUUACGACCAGGGCUACACACGUGCUACAAUGGCAUAUACAAAGAGAAGCGACCUCGCGAGAGCAAGCGGACCUCAUAAAGUAUGUCGUAGUCCGGAUUGGAGUCUGCAACUCGACUCCAUGAAGUCGGAAUCGCUAGUAAUCGUAGAUCAGAAUGCUACGGUGAAUACGUUCCCGGGCCUUGUACACACCGCCCGUCACACCAUGGGAGUGGGUUGUAAAAGAAGUAGGUAGCUUAACCUUCGGGAGGGCGCUUACCACUUUGUGAUUCAUGACUGGGGUGAAGUCGUAACAAGGUAACCGUAGGGGAACCUGCGGUUGGAUCACCUCCUUA
RNAcentral lists this ribosomal RNA (1540 nucleotides) under Klebsiella pneumoniae. Its description in RNAcentral is "bacterial SSU rRNA". It matches the Rfam family "Bacterial small subunit ribosomal RNA". The record is from RNAcentral. Lineage: Bacteria; Pseudomonadati; Pseudomonadota; Gammaproteobacteria; Enterobacterales; Enterobacteriaceae.